This 262-nucleotide ribosomal RNA is filed under the name uncultured archaeon. Its description in RNAcentral is "partial 16S ribosomal RNA". It matches the Rfam family "Archaeal small subunit ribosomal RNA", at positions 748 to 1008 of the family's 1478-position model. The record is from RNAcentral.
CAGCCGUAAACUAUGCGCGUUAGGUGUACUGGUGACCACGAGUCACCGGGGUGCCGAAGGGAAACCGUGAAACGUGCCGCCUGGGAAGUACGGUCGCAAGGCUGAAACUUAAAGGAAUUGGCGGGGGGAGCACCACAACGGGUGGAGCCUGCGGUUUAAUUGGACUCAACGCCGGAAAUCUCACCGGAUAGGACAGACAUAUGAUUGUCAAUCUGAAGGUUUUACAUGACUAGCUGAGAGGUGGUGCAUGGCGUCAGUGACU